Long non-coding RNA from Astatotilapia calliptera (eastern happy), 792 nucleotides. The record is from Ensembl. NCBI's taxonomy places the organism in Eukaryota, Metazoa, Chordata, Actinopteri, Cichliformes, Cichlidae.
CGCCAUGUACCGCCCGGGACCGGAGGUCACCGUCGACGAGAGACUGGUGCCGUUCAGAGGAGGAAGAGGAGGUGCGCGAGGUUGCCCGCCAUGUACCGCCCGGGACCGGAGGUCACCGUCGACGAGAGACUGGUGCCGUUCAGAGGAAGGUGUCUGUUCAGACAGUACAUGCCCAGCAAACCAGCCAGGUACGGGAUCAAGAUAUGGGUGGCAUGCGAUGCGUGUUCCAGCUACACGUGGAAGAUGCAAGUCUACACCGGCAAGCCCGGCAAGCCAGACAAGCGCGGCCCUCCCGAAAAGCACCUGUCCACUUGAGUGGUCGUGGACCUCACCGAGGGAUUGACGCCGGGACGCAACGUCACAUGCGACAACUUUUUCACCUCGCGCGAGCUUGCCGACAGGCUCCAUCGCGAAAGAGGCCACACCACGUGCUGGGCACUCUGCGAUCAAACAGACCCGAGAUCCCCAGAGAGCUGCGCUGUGUCAAGGGCAGGGCCGUGGGCUCCGUCGAAUCCGUAGUACUUGGUGGCUCCGUGGGACGAGGAGGAGGAGGAAGAGGGCCCGACAUGAUCAUCCUCUCCUACGUGGCCAAGAAGAACAAGAACGUGCUGCUCCUCACCACAGCUACUCGCUACCAACACCACCACCACUCCGGCCCCAGCCUAGCCGCCGCAUCAGCAGCAGCAGCAGCAACAGCAGCAGAAGCAGCGGCGGCAGUGCAAAACCGCCCUUGGUGCUGCAUUACAACCGCACCAAGGGAGGCGUCGACAACCUGGACAAGGUCGUGAGCAC